This 30-nucleotide non-coding RNA is filed under the name Mus musculus (house mouse). Lineage: Eukaryota; Metazoa; Chordata; Mammalia; Rodentia; Muridae. The record is from RNAcentral.
UAUCAGAGCUGACCCUACAAACACCUGUCC